Apis cerana (Asiatic honeybee) is the source of this 1889-nucleotide long non-coding RNA. RefSeq lists it as uncharacterized. NCBI's taxonomy places the organism in Eukaryota, Metazoa, Arthropoda, Insecta, Hymenoptera, Apidae. The record is from RefSeq and is a predicted model, not a curated record.
AUUAUAAAAUUUAUUUAAUCAUUUCAUUUGACAAAGAUUAAAUAAUGAAGAAAUUGAAACGAAGCUAAAAACGAAAUAUAAAAUAUACAUUGUCACCUUUGGCACGUAGCCGAAAGGUGUGGAUUUUCCAACGACGUAACACCAUCAUUUUUAGUGUCGAAAUACUACCCUUUAAUAAUAUUUUCCCUCCUAUCUUUUCCUGUCCUCAUUUUCUUCUUAUUUACUGCUUCCAUUUAUAUGUAUAAUCUUAUUUAAAUCGCUUGGACAUUAAGAAAUUAAUUACCGAUUUCAACGAAAUGAAAAAACGACUGUUAUUUCGUCUACUAUCGAUCGAUUCAUGCUGUCAAAGUAACGCGACGCGUUCGAUUAAAAGGAAGCCGAGAUAACAACACUCGACAAGAGUUCCGCGAUCGAAACGCAAGCAUUUUAGUUUAGAUAUGCUUGCCUUUUCCGAGCCGCAACGCGACGACUCGUAUUCGAUUUACCGAAUUAUCGAUCCAUUUCUGUCGAGUAACAAUCGAAAUCUUUCAUAAACGGAACGAAAUUCAGUUAGGAACGCUAGAUAUAAUUUAGAACAACUGAUACUCUGCUUUCUUUUUCUCUUUACCAUUUAGUAGUUUACAUGGCUUCGUAAAGCCGUGUAACCGGGUUCUUAGAAAUUGUUUCCUCUUCCUCGAGAAUUUAUCGAUACUAUUUUAUCUUUUACAUCUUUUCCACUCGUGAUAAAUUAGAUUCGCUACUUUGAAACUCGAUUGAUGAAUAAUCGCGAAAUUAGAACUGAUUGAGCGAAGCUUUCUUAUGCGCGAAUCACUGUAAAUGUGUAUAUAGAGGCGAGCAAUGAAACAGCGAGGUAUGGAGUGGGAGAGGGGGGAGGGGGAAGGAGACAAAAAAGAAAGAGAGGGGGAUAGAGAGAGAAGUACGAAAAAGGUUUACUUGUAGAGCAUAGGAUCGGGUCGAAGAACACGGGGGUGGGCAGCCAGCUGAUUCGGGCGAGUUCGUGAACGACCGUAAUCGAAGCGCGAGGAAACGAAAGAGGCGAGGUAGCGCAGCAGCGCACGUCCGAUGCAGUCUGCCGCGACCACCGGGAAACCAGCUGACUGGUCGGUUCGGUCACGUUCGCUAGGUCGUUCGGCAGUCUUCGGAUCUUUGUUCGUCUCUGUGCACGAGGCUACCGGCAAGCGACAAACCUUUCCGUCAGUCGCCGUUUCGACACUGUUGAAGAAUUGUACGUACGCGCAAGUUUCUUACCUCUUCGAUAAAAACCGACAUUAUACGUAUACGUGGUUCGAAUUGCAUGAUUAAUCAUCUCAUCGUUGUGUCAAUCAACCGAUCCCACUGAUUACUCGUUGACUAAAGGAACAAUCGGGACGACGCAAUGUUGUAUUCGAAGUGAAAAAUGAUUGUGUUUUAAGCAAGAGAAAGCAAAGAAAAAGACAGAUUAGGAAGAUAAAAGAAGAACAAGAAAGGAAGAAACGAAGGAAAGAAGAGAAAAUGAUUGCAAGUGAAGCGCUAUGAAAUCCGAUCUGUACGAUAGGACAAUCCCACGUUAAAGUCGAAUCGUUAUGGAUCGAAAUUUGUUGGGUGGUAAGUGGAAAUGCUACGUGACCGGUCGGUGGUGUACGAAACUAAAUCUUCGAAAACUUUCGGUCGUGCAACCGGUUUCUCUUCGUAUUGAAAAAUAUUCUUUUUCACACAGUUCGGCUUCUCCGUCGACGAUCAUCAAUUUCGACAUCGAUAUUGGCACCGGCGUCGGCAUCGUAUCUCCAUCCUCGUCCUCUCGUCGUCGUUGCUGCCGCUGCUACUGCUGUCGCUGCCAUCGUUGAUGGGAUUUGGAAAGCCAUUCUUCCAAAUUCUUUUAGCCUAUUGAAACGUUAAUUUUUCGAAUUACG